Molecule: ribosomal RNA, 464 nt
Filed under: uncultured bacterium
Lineage: Bacteria
Description: partial 16S ribosomal RNA
Rfam family: Bacterial small subunit ribosomal RNA
Source: RNAcentral
CCUACGGGAGGCAGCAGUGGGGAAUUUUGCGCAAUGGGGGCAACCCUGACGCAGCAACGCCGCGUGAGUGAUGAAGGCCUUCGGGUCGUAAAGCUCUGUCAGAGGGGAAGAAAUGCAGGUGGUGAACAACCAUUCUGUUUGACGGUACCUGAAGAAGAGGCACCGGCUAACUACGUGCCAGCAGCCGCGGUAAUACGUAGGGUGCGAGCGUUAAUCGGAAUUACUGGGCGUAAAGCGUGCGCAGGCGGCUUUGUAAGACGGAUGUAAAAUCCCUGGGCUUAACCUAGGAACUGCGUUCGUGACUGCAAAGCUAGAGUGCGGCAGAGGGGGGUGGAAUUCCUGGUGUAGCAGUAAAAUGCGUAGAGAUCAGGAGGAACACCGAUGGCGAAGGCAGCCCCCUGGGUUGACACUGACGCUCAUGCACGAAAGCGGGGGGAGCAAACAGGAUUAGAUACCCCUGUAGU